CACACCCUAAACGAUGAAUACUAGAUGUUGGUCUUUUUAAAAGAUCAGUAUCCAAGCUAACGCAUUAAGUAUUCCACCUGGGAAGUACAAUCGCAAGGUUGAAACUCAAAGGAAUUGACG
RNAcentral lists this ribosomal RNA (120 nucleotides) under uncultured bacterium. Its description in RNAcentral is "partial 16S ribosomal RNA". It matches the Rfam family "Bacterial small subunit ribosomal RNA", at positions 796 to 915 of the family's 1533-position model. The record is from RNAcentral.